Lathyrus oleraceus (garden pea) is the source of this 698-nucleotide long non-coding RNA. RefSeq lists it as uncharacterized. The transcript is spliced from 2 exons. The record is from RefSeq and is a predicted model, not a curated record. Lineage: Eukaryota; Viridiplantae; Streptophyta; Magnoliopsida; Fabales; Fabaceae.
AAAUCUAGCCAAAAGUGGAGGAAAAUUGUUUGUGGUACGCUGGUGAUGGAACAACUGUGAAUGCUUGGGAUAUUAGAUGGAUUGACCAAGAUGUUACAAUAGCUAAUAUGGAUAUUCAUAUUCACAUGAAUCUCAAAACAACAAGAGUAGUGGAUCUCACGAGUGAAGAUGGUGAUUUGAAGAAAUGGAUUUAUAUCAAUAUGCAAAACAAUAUGGGGUGGAAUAAUAAUGAUGAUUUGAAGGAUUUUUGGGCUACCGCUUGUGAUAACAUGUGAAGUUGGCAUAACAAACAGAACCAUGAUGACAACUAUUCUCGACCACUGAGUAUAAUAACCCAUACAUAAAAGCUAGUGUAAGACUACACACAGGCAAAAACAUCAACCAACAUAAGCACAAUUCAGCAGGGUUUUGCCUAAUAAUGUUACUCUGGUUUUUUCCUAGAACUGCUAUUUAAUAUUUACUGUUAUGAAUUAUUUGUAUGCAGUGUCAAGGAUGUGCCUCUCUUUCCUGAUAUUAUUAAGGUUUUGAUGCUCGUACCUUCUGGUGUUGUUCCUUCAUGGGUGUUGCUACUGAUAUCGUCUCCUUUCCUCUCUCCAUAUGGAAAUAGGUUUUUGUCAAGCCUGUCGUUGAAGGUUAACUCACCAUUGUUAUUUACCUAUUGAAUGAUUCAUUAUCUCUAAUGGAUUGCAUUUCCUUUA